CCUACAAGGUGCACGUCGCUCCGGAACAUCCGCGACAACGAGGAGAAGGACUCGGCCUUCCGGGGGAUCUGUGUCAUGAUCGGGGUGAACCCUGGGGGGGUUGUGCAGGAUUUCAUCUUCUUCUGCGACGCCGUCGCGUCCUGGGUGAGCCCCAAGGACGACCUGAGGGACAUGUUUUACAAGAUCCUGCACGGCUUCAAGGCCCAGGUGGGCGAGGAGAACUGGCAGCAGUUUUCGGAGCAGUUCCCCCCCCUCCUCAAGGAGCGACUGGCGGCGUUUUACGGGGUCUGAGCCAGGGGGAGACCCCUCAAAAAGGUGCGGGGGGGGGCUCCAACAUCCCCAAAAAUGGGGGGGGGGGCACAGCCAGACCUCCCCCCUUCAAUCUCUGCUCUCCC
Long non-coding RNA from Neopelma chrysocephalum (saffron-crested tyrant-manakin), 395 nucleotides. RefSeq lists it as uncharacterized. The transcript has 3 exons. NCBI's taxonomy places the organism in Eukaryota, Metazoa, Chordata, Aves, Passeriformes, Pipridae. The record is from RefSeq and is a predicted model, not a curated record.